This 146-nucleotide non-coding RNA is filed under the name Sus scrofa (pig). Its description in RNAcentral is "Eukaryotic small subunit ribosomal RNA". It matches the Rfam family "Eukaryotic small subunit ribosomal RNA", at positions 1281 to 1469 of the family's 1831-position model. The record is from Rfam by way of RNAcentral. Lineage: Eukaryota; Metazoa; Chordata; Mammalia; Artiodactyla; Suidae.
UGCAUGGUCAUUCUUAGUUGGUGGAGAAAUUUUGUUAAUUCUGAUAAUAAAUGAGACUCUGGCAUACUAACUAGUUACAUGACCCCAACUUCUUAGGACAAAUGGCAUUUAGCCUCCCAAGAUUGAGCAAUAACAGGUCUCUGAUG